RNAcentral lists this ribosomal RNA (548 nucleotides) under uncultured bacterium. Its description in RNAcentral is "bacterial SSU rRNA". It matches the Rfam family "Bacterial small subunit ribosomal RNA", at positions 355 to 895 of the family's 1533-position model. The record is from RNAcentral.
UAGGGAAUCUUCCGCAAUGGGCGAAAGCCUGAUGGAGCAACGCCGCGUGUGUGAUGAAGGCUUUAGGGUCGUAAAGCACUGUUGUAUGGGAAGAAAUGCUAGAAUAGGGAAUGAUUCUAGUUCGACGGUACCAUACCAGAAAGGGACGGCUAAAUACGUGCCAGCAGCCGCGGUAAUACGUAUGUCCCGAGCGUUAUCCGGAUUUAUUGGGCGUAAAGCGAGCGCAGACGGUUGAUUAAGUCUGAUGUGAAAGCCCGGAGCUCAACUCCGGAAUGGCAUUGGAAACUGGUUAACUUGAGUGUUGUAGAGGUAAGUGGAACUCCAUGUGUAGCGGUGGAAUGCGUAGAUAUAUGGAAGAACACCAGUGGCGAAGGCGGCUUACUGGACAACAACUGACGUUGAGGCUCGAAAGUGUGGGUAGCAAACAGGAUUAGAUACCCUGGUAGUCCACACCGUNNCGAUGAAUACUAGGUGUUAGGAGGUUUCCGCCUCUUAGUGCCGAAGCUAACGCAUUAAGUAUUCCGCCUGGGGAGUACNACCGCAAGGUU